GAUUAUAUGAUACCGUGUUGGGUAAUGAUAUCUUACAAUUGAAUAAAAAAAACUAUUUAAAGAGUACACAUGAAUGAACAUAAUAUGUGACUAAUUGUUUAGGAAAUUACAAGUUCAAAAUGGUGGAAAAAAUAAUGGACACCUGUUAGUUAUCAGUUGAGCAUUUUAUUCUCUAUUUACAAAUUGUCCGAAGAUUAACAACUUUUGACACUUGUUGACAUAUUCAUUGUUAGAAUGUGUGAAAAGGAGUUUAUUUUGGAAGAUUAAUAGCAAGUUAACACAGACGUAUUCUAUUCGUAGUUUUAAGUCAUAAGAUUUAAGUCGUGCGAGGAAUUGUCUUUCGUUGUAAAUGGGUAAAAAUAACAUGGAACUUGUACAUGUUUUGGAAAUAAAAAGGGAAAUCUACAAGGAUGGUGUUAAUUCAACAAGGAAAAUUUUCUAGUUAAAUGAAAUAAGUAGUACAAAAUGGCUGGAGAACCAUGACAUAGCAAAUAUUCAGGAAUUAAUUUUCAUCAAAUCGUAAUUUCAGACAUAAAAUUUUGAAACGUAAUAAGAUAAGAAGCAACACAACGUUUUACAUACUACAAUAUACGUGUUAAAAAAGAACUUUCACGAUUGUAAUCUGUAUGGAAGUUGACGAUAAUGCAACCCAGUUGUCAUUAAACUACUCUAACAGUUACGACAUAACAACUAUCCAAUUCAACUUGUCAACCAACUCAGGUGACUUUUCCAGUACCGAUGUCCAAACUAUAAAAGAGGCAGCAAAAUGGUUAUGGAUAAUUAUUUCCCCGAUUCUACUCGUGUUCGGUUUGAUUGGAAAUAUAGGAAUAUUAUUAGUCCUGUGGAAAAUAAAGUUUGCAAGAAUUUGACCUAUAUAUUUUUAUUCAUUUUAGCCACUGUAAACACAGUUGUUCUCAUGGUUGGUCUAACAAGGUAUUGGAUAUUGGCAACUUUCGACAUCGACAUUCGGGAUAUCAGCACGUCAGGAUGUGUGUCACAGCUAUUUCUGAUCUAUUUUUCUAUGCAUAUGUCUUCCUGGACUCUUGUGUGCAUAACAACGAUAAGAUUUCUCCAAAUAAAAUUCUCUCUCCGUUGCCGAGCUAAAACGUUUUCAAAAAUGUUGGCUGCUUUGUACAUUGUUACCCUUGUGAUUUGUGUAGCACUGGAUUUACACUUUUUCUUUACAAAUGGUCUUAUUCUAGAAGAUAACGAAUAUAUAUGCAGCAAUACGUCUACCGAUUAUUAUGAAUUUGAGGAAAAAGUUUAUGUUUUAAUUGACUUAGCCAUGCUGUCAGUCAUACCCUUCCUCAUAAUGUUCGUUAUGAACAUAUUUAUUGGCAAAAGAGUUCUAAAAUCCAUUGCUUUUCGUAGGACAUCUAUUUCCAACAACCAAAGCAGACGUCGUGUAAACCGUCAAAGUAAAAGAAUAACGCAAACGUUAUUUUUUACUAGCCUAUAUUUUAUAAUAACAACAUUGCCAGUCUCAGUUUUGUUCGUUGUAGACUCAUAUCUACCUGAUAAUAAAACAGUACAAAUGCAGGCAAAUCUAGAUCUCGUGAAAGCAGUUUUAUAUUUAUUCCAGUUUUCAUUUUAUGCUAUAGGCUUUUAUAUAUAUAUUGAAUUAAGGGCAAGCAUCAGAGGGAUUUUUCCAUGCUGCAAUGACAAACAUAGGUAAGUUUCUUCAAAAUGUGUAAUUCAAAAGUUGCAUAAAAUAGAUGUACUUUUAAACAAACGGACUAAUUAAAAACAAAACGACCUUUCGUGAACCUAACAAAAUAAAUAAAUAGAACUCGGUAUAAACAUGUGGUUGUAGAUCAAUUAGACGGUUAAUAAGUCGUUAUACAAUCGACGAUCUACCAUAAACUUACGAUUUAGUAGAUAUGAAUGAAAAGAGAUGUAUAUGUCAAUAAGAAACCAACCCAUAACAAUCUUAAUCGAAAAGACACAUAGAGAAAAAAGAGAGAAAAUCAUAUAGACUAGAAGGGUGGCGUAACAAUGUGUUUUUAUAUAUAAAUCUUAUUAUAAAUAUGUAUUUACACAAUCAUUCAAACCUACACAGAAAGAUUUAUUGUGUAUAUUUUUUCUUUUAAAUUCUCGAUAAGAUAAGUUAUACAAAUUUCUUCAAAGUAAACAUGGUAAAGGCAACGGAAUCAGACACAUUUACAAUCCAGUAAAAAUAAGUACCCGAUAGCAGUUUUUUUUCAAUUUUUCUCUCAAUAGCGUUCGCAAUUAUGAUAAAUCUCUUUUUAACUAGAUCACAGUUCAUAAAUGCAUGCAAUAAAGAAUAGAUUGAGACAUUUUGGAUGUCAGGCUGGUAUGGUGCAUUACCUAUUAUUAUGUAUUGAAAUAAUUCACAUUUACAAAUGCAAUGUGUGUCUAAUUUAAUUUGCCUAGCUACGCUUUAAUUUUGAUUCAAUAAAUGUAUAUUUCAGAUCAAACAGUCAGACCUCUUUUUCACGAAGAGCAACUUUUUCAACAACUAGUCAAUAUCUCAGUAACGAUGAAUCAACAGAUUCAGAAUUGAUAGGAUUGAGCUGG
This 2538-nucleotide long non-coding RNA is filed under the name Mytilus galloprovincialis (Mediterranean mussel). The record is from RNAcentral. Lineage: Eukaryota; Metazoa; Mollusca; Bivalvia; Mytilida; Mytilidae.